This 491-nucleotide ribosomal RNA is filed under the name uncultured bacterium. Its description in RNAcentral is "partial 16S ribosomal RNA". It matches the Rfam family "Bacterial small subunit ribosomal RNA", at positions 29 to 506 of the family's 1533-position model. The record is from RNAcentral.
AGUGAACGCUGGCGGUAGGCCUAACACAUGCAAGUCGAACGGCAGCACAGUAAGAGCUUGCUCUUACGGGUGGCGAGUGGCGGACGGGUGAGGAAUACAUCGGAAUCUACUUUUUCGUGGGGGAUAACGUAGGGAAACUUACGCUAAUACCGCAUACGACCUACGGGUGAAAGCAGGGGAUCUUCGGACCUUGCGCGAUUGAAUGAGCCGAUGUCGGAUUAGCUAGUUGGCGGGGUAAAGGCCCACCAAGGCGACGAUCCGUAGCUGGUCUGAGAGGAUGAUCAGCCGCACUGGAACUGAGACACGGUCCAGACUCCUACGGGAGGCAGCAGUGGGGAAUAUUGGACAAUGGGCGCAAGCCUGAUCCAGCCAUACCGCGUGGGUGAAGAAGGCCUUCGGGUUGUGUAGCCCUUUUGUUGGGAAAGAAAAGCAGCAGGUUAAUACCCCGCUGUUCUGACGGUACCCAAAGAAUAAGCACCGGCUAACUUCGU